UACAUAGGUCUCAAGCGUUGUUCGGAUUCAUUGGGCGUAAAGGGUGCGUAUGCGGCCAACUAAGUCGGACGUGAAAUCCCUCGGCUUAACCGGGGAACUGCGUCCGAUACUGGAUGGCUAGAGUUCGGGAGAGGGAUGCGGAAUUCCAGGUGUAGCGGUGAAAUGCGUAGAUAUCUGGAGGAACACCGGUGGCGAAGGCGGCAUCCUGGACCGACACUGACGCUGAGGAGCGAAAGCCAGGGGAGCAAACGGG
This 253-nucleotide ribosomal RNA is filed under the name uncultured bacterium. RNAcentral's name for it is "partial 16S ribosomal RNA". It matches the Rfam family "Bacterial small subunit ribosomal RNA", at positions 524 to 776 of the family's 1533-position model. The record is from RNAcentral.